UCUUUCUGCAUUGUUUUUUCGGUAUUCUGGUUAUCGGUUAUUUGAUUAUACUAAACUAUCAUUUGUUUAAGUGUCAUUUGAAUUAAUCUAUGAAUAUGAAAUGAGAUGUUGGUAUGCUUUACUAGUUGCUUGGAUGAUAAGAGUCUAAAUAAAUGAAAGCUUACUGAGCAUCCUGAGAAAUGGUGGACGGACCCAGUACAUAAGGAACCCUACUGUGAACAUUACCUCAGU
Molecule: long non-coding RNA, 231 nt
Filed under: Carica papaya (papaya)
Lineage: Eukaryota; Viridiplantae; Streptophyta; Magnoliopsida; Brassicales; Caricaceae
Description: long non-coding RNA (CPAP_LNC004755)
Source: RNAcentral